Molecule: long non-coding RNA, 2888 nt
Organism: Entelurus aequoreus (snake pipefish)
Lineage: Eukaryota; Metazoa; Chordata; Actinopteri; Syngnathiformes; Syngnathidae
Exons: 2
Source: RefSeq, a predicted model, not a curated record
GCCGAUGUGUUUACUUUGAGAUAAACCAAACUAAGUCUCUAAGGAAUAUAACCCGCAGAGGCAUUUUCUGACGAAACAUCUACAUUUCGAUGUCUGGUCCCCGAGCCCUUGGAUUCUUGAAACUGAGGCCCUCUUCAUAAUGCAGUUAAAUAACCCUGGUCUAUGGUAUUGAAUUAACACUAAUGAGUCAACUUGAAUGAAAGUGCAGCGCAAAGGUGUGACAUAUGAAGAUAUAAAAGUGAGUAGCGAAAGACUCAAACCAUCCACUGUGGCCAAGUUUUGUCACUGACAUGCUUGGUCUCACUUCAGUGCUGAGAGAUUGUAAAUGUCACAGCUCGUCACUCAGACUCACGUGCGUGGCGAGAUGGAGCCGCCAAAAGGAAACAGCGAGCAGUUCUCCGUCUGACUCCCUCAAUGUCCAUCUGUCAAUCUUUGCUUAUUCUUGAGAAACUACUUGUGACUUUAUGCCUUUUUGGACUUCUAUUCAGCGCCUGAUCAUUUCUAUUCAACGGCUCGCUGCCGGGUGGUGAUUGGUUCGGCCCCCUUGCAUAUUCUUCCGACAGACUGCACCUUCAAAUAACUUUGCUCAAAAUUCAUUGGAUCUAUGUUGGAAAGAAAUGUUCAGAUUCCAGUGAGCCACGGAUGAGGAGAUGCUGCUCCAUCUUUUGACACUUCUUCAACACCCGUCCUUGCACGCUACAACAAAGAUGACGGGGAGAAGACGCUGCCGAAGGUGAGCCACGUAAAUAAGACCGCCCAUAAAACGGCGCAUCCUGAAGUGACAGUCAGAAAGCGACUUGAAGAUGGUCUGUAAAACAUCAUCUAUGCAACAUUUUGACCAAAGAACUAACAUUACAUGUUAUGUAGACCACAAGGAAGUGUUUUUAAUUUAGAAAAAAAAUCAUAAUAUGACCCCUUUAAUGCGCCUUAUAAUCCGGUGCGCCUUUUGUAUGAAAAUAGACCUGACUAGACCCUGCGAUGAGGUGGCGACUUGUCCAGCGUGUACCCCGCCUUCCGCUCGAUUGUAGCUGAGAUAGGCUCCAGCGCCCUCCGCGACCCCGAAGGGAAAAAGCGGUAGAAAAUGGAUGGAUGGAUAGACCCGCUCAUCGGCAGUGCGCCCCAUGGUCCGGAAAAUACGCUAAUAGAUAGUUUUUGUUUAUGUUUAGUUAUUGUGUACUAAUGACAAUGUUUUGAUCAAACAAUUGUAUGUAAUAAAAGAGAUAACAAGUUUAAAUAUUGUGUUUAAAUUGUGACACUGUCAACAGCACUCACCAUAAGCGUACAGGUAAUACAUGUGAUCAGUAUCAGUAUUGGCCAAUUCAACUCCGAGAUGAUCGGUAUCAAAUACCCGAUAUGAACAAAUGUUUACCUUUUAUUGAAGACUCUUGUUGGCUCUGUCGUCGUACUUUGCUCCAAGUUUGUUCUUAAAUUCAAAAAUGUCUCUCAUCUUCUUUGUUAACGUGCAGCCACUUGCAACUUUCUUGGCCGCAUGUUUGCUUAUUUUGUAAUCGUACGCAAUAAAAAAGAAAAAAAGCACAGAGACCGUCUGAAAGCAUGUUUGCCUAAAACUCAGAGUUACGCAGAGCUGUUGAACGCCUCAUCACGCAUGAACGGCGCAUGGGAACAUCUUUCUUGUGUUCUCCGACACUGAGUUGUUCAUCGUUCUGUGUGCAUUCUAUGAACAAAUAAAUCACACACACCCAUAAUAAAGAUGAUGAAAAGAAUCUGUCUAUUAGUGUCUCAACUGUAAAAGGGGUCCUUAUCCCUUCCAGAGCCCAAAAAAAGUCUGCAAGCUAUAGAGCGUUUUCUAUUCGGGCUCCUGUACUAUGGAAUGCCCUCCCGGUAACAGUUAGAGAUGCUACCUCAGUAGAAACAUUUAAGUCCCAUCUUAAAACUCAUUUGUAUACUCUAGCCUUUAUAUAGACCCCCUUUUUAGACCAGUUGAUCUGCCGUUUCUUUUCUUUUCUCCUCUGCCCCCCUCUCACGGUGGCCAUGGAUGAAGUGCUGGCUGUCCAGAGUCGGGACCCGGGGUGGACCGCUCGCCUGUGCAUCGGUUGGGGACAUCUCUGCGCUGCUGACCCAUCUCCGCUCGGGAUGGUCUCCUGCUGGCCCCAAUAUGGACUGGACUCUCACUAUUAUGUUAGAUCCACUAUGGACUGGACUUUCACAAUAUUAUGCUAGAUCUACAUUGACGUCCAUUGCAUUCGGUCUCCCCUAGAGGGGGGGUUCACCCACGUCUGCGGUCCUCUCCAAGGUUUCUCAUAGUCAUUCACAUUGACAUCCAACUGGGUUGUGAGUUUUUCCUUGCCCUUAUGUGGGCUCUGUACCGAGGAUGUCGUUGUGGCUUGUGCAGCCCUUUGAGACACUUGUGAUUUAGGGCUAUAUAAAUAAACAUUGAUUGAUUGAUUGAUUGAUUAUUCACAGAGACGCGCCAAGUAAACCUUACUUCCCUCCUUAAGAGCUGUGCUGGACUAUGAGUCAACAGCAUUGUUUGAAUUACUCGGUUAUUGGAUCCUGCUGUGAGCUGGGCGUGUGCAGGCUGACCUCUUUUACGCCACAACCAAGAUACAUACAAAAAAAAACAUUGCAAACUUUUGAUGGAAUUUUUUGUCAAACAGAAUCACACGAAAAACGUUUUCAUUCUAUUCUACAAGGCCUGGGGAACCUACACAAGUCACACAAACUAUCUAGAGAAGUCGGAGGGAUUGUUUUGGUUUUGUGUCCAUCUGCAUAACCCCAUACCAAAUGCCUCCAACUUUGGAGAACAACAAUCUACCGGACACUGAUGUGAUGUUUUAUUAUUCUGUUAUUUGGAGUGAGUCCAAACAUGCCAUCUGCUCUGUGAAACAUCCUUGUGAAUUGUGCAAUAAAAUGCAUUGUUAACUCCU